UUUAACAACUUUUCUUGUCCCUUUUCCCUUUAGCUGGAGAGAGUUAUAAGGGAAAAAUAAACCCUUGUCUGACAGUCUCUUAGAUGGUAUUAAAGAUCAUAAUUGUCCUUUUGGGGAAAAGAGAAGUUAAUUGAGAUGGACAGGAGCUGCUGCUGCUGCUGUUAGACUGAUCCCAUUUAAUUUCAGAUGGUGUUUGGGGACUCUGCUGGAGCUGGUAGGGAUGGCCAUGUCAUCUGGAUCCCUGCGUCUGGCCUGAUCUGGUCAGGGCAUUCCUUAGGAUAGGGAUGAAGAAGGGAGAUGGUGGGGGUGAUAGCCAUGAUGGUGAAGCUCAUUCCAGUCGCCUCUGCCUGUCCCCACCCUCCCCAAGUCUCUUUCUUUAAGGACCAACAAAGCGAAUGGCAGAUUGAAUAGAUCACCUCAUUAUUUUGUCUCCUGAUUAGGCCUAAUAUCUGCCACAUCAAUUUUGGUUCAUUAAUUUCUGGUUCCACAUCUCCUGUUUUUAGUAAGCAUAAUUUUAAGCAUAAUUAUCAACAUGGCCUUUUUGUUUAAACUAAUUUAGUCUGUCUGGUUCUCCUGUGCCUGUUUAUAACAUUAUUGAAAGCAACUUAACAAAUGUUAAUGGAAAGCAAGUUAUUAUAGGUUAUUGUAACAUCUUAUGAACUUUGAUGUACUUUUUACAGUUGAGCUAACAAUUAAUGAAAAUUCAUCGGCCCAGUAACCAGAACAUAAUCCCUCUUUUUUUAUGGACUAAUUUUGCCUAGGAUUGGAUAUUUGUUUCUAAAAUCAUAUUUAUAAAGAAAAAUCUUAACUGUAUAAAGGAAAAGGGGUGGGGGAGUACUUGGUUAUAUUUUAAGAUUCGCAAAUUCCUUAUCUCAAAGUUGGCGUUUACAAAUCUUACUUGAUUACAUAUUAAACUUUCCAGAUGUUAACAAAGCGAAGAACUUACAACUCACUUUAUUUGUAGCUAAAACAAAACGUAGAGCUGCAGCUGUUAUAUGUCUGUAGGAUGUUUUAGAACAAACCGGCUUUUAUCACUUCUUUGGCUGUUUGCCCAGAAUGGGCAAAGAUGGAAAAAACAUUCCCCCUUUUUUGCUGCUUGUACAUUUAUAAAAACCAUGAAAAUUUUGUGCGUUAGUGGUUAAACUUGCUCACUUGUAGCCCUGAUGGAAUUUUUUUCCUCAAGUGUCUUGUUGUCUCCUUUAAAAAGAAUCACAAAAUGUUCUUUCAGAACCAUAUUUGCAUUUGUGAGUUAUCUGCAACACCCAAAGUUGGGCAAAAACAAAACUUUAAAAAAAAAAAAAAUCAAGUUUGGUGUUGAAAGAGCCCUCUGUUUUGGUGGUUUGAGAUUUUUUUUUUUUACUGUCAAUGUGAUAGCAGCCUUGUAUUAAGUUGCUAUUUUGUUAACAAGGGGGAUUCCCCAAGAUGUUGUUUUAGGAAAAGUUUGCUUUAAUGACUUGACUUUCAACAAUGUAAAACACUAUUUUUACAAUUUUUGCUUUUUCUGAAAAAUACUUUUAAGUAUUAUUUACCACAAAGCACCUAACCUCAGAGGAGUGUGUGUGGUGAAGAUAAAUUCAGUAAUGGUUCAUAAAGAACUAAGAUACCAUAGAACAGCCUAUGAGGAAAUUAAUAACUUUGUAUUCAGUGCAGGUCUUGGAUGGUGUGUAAUACAUAAGGCCUGGGGCCACACGCUGUGAAUGAUGAGGAUAAAAAGAAACGCUGGAUAAUAACCCAUUAAUUGAACACUGUUCGUGCUGGGCAAUGGAAUGAGGCAGGAAUCCUGGGGGGGGCAGGGGAAGAGUGUGAUCCUGUAAUUAUAGACUAUCAUAAUGAUCACACACAUGAGGGGGCCAAGUUUAGGUUCCACAGGCAAUCUUAAUUCUGGCACUGCCUAACUUCUGAGUACUUGACUUUGCAGCUUUAACCUUCUGAUAAUGUAGCUUUUGUGGCUGUUCAGUGCUAUAUUAAAGAACAGUAUCCACAGGUUUCACCUGGAUAUAUGAUGAGCAUAUAUGGCUUUGUUCCAUCAAUUGGUGAACAACUGUAAAGCUUACCCUGGCCCAAUACCCCUGUUCUGGGCUUAUGUUGCCAGGGGCUGGAUGCAUUUUUGGUCCCCUUCUGGAGCAAGGUAAGUAUUCCCCCCGCCCCACCUUGGAUAUUGAGGUUCCAAGGGAAUGUCAGGACAGCCUAAUGUAAACUUUUUAAAUAAACCCAUUUAGCCCAGUUUCUUUAAGGUUUAGUGCAUCUGGUCAAGUCUUACUAAUCUCUCCUCUUACGGCCGCCAUUUCAUGAUUAGGGGUAUGGAACGGCUGCCAUAUGAGGAGAGAUUAUUAAGACUGGGACUUUUCAGCUUGGAAAAGAGACGACUAAGGGGGGAUAUGAUAGAGGUCUAUAAAAUCGUGACUGGUGUGGAGGAAGUAAAUAAGGAAGUGUUAUUUAUGCCUCGUAACACAAGAACUGGGGGUCACUAAAUUAAAUUAAUAGGCAGCAGGUUUAAAACAAACAAAAGAAAGUAUUUUUUCACACAACGCACAGUCAACCAGUGGAACUCCUUCCCAGAGGAUGUUGUGAAGGCCAAGACUAUAACAGGGUUAAAAAAAGAACUAAAGUUCAUGGAGGAUAGAUUCAUCAAUGGCUGUUAGCCAGGAUGGACAGGGAUGGUGUCCCUAGCCUCUUUGUUCACCAGAAGCUGGGAAUGAGCGACGGGAUGGAUCACUUGAUGAUUACCUGUUCUGUUCAUUCCCUCUGGGGCACCUGGCAUUGGCCCCUCUUGGAAGCCAGGAUACUGGGCUAGAUGGACCUUUGGUCUGACCCAGUAUGGCCAUUCAUAUGUAUGUAAGGGACUGCGUGGGCAAGGGCUGUUCUAUGUGAUAUCCUAGACUUUUUUUCAGCUCUGGACAUGUUCAUUGGGAGGUAAAAACAAGAGCUCCUUAGCAUUUAGAUUUAUGCCACUUCAAUCACCAGGGACCUUACUAAAUGGGCUAUCUAUCAGUAAUUCAUACAGUGGGUAUGCAGAGGCCUCUUAAAAUCUUAUUUUUGACUUCAGCUGUCUUAGGUUGCUGAUCUAACCGUUAACUACAGUCUCUUUAGGGGUGGGGUUUUGUUCUCCCCAGCAGUCUAUCCCAGCUCAACACUGCUUUGCUUUCUUCAUCCACUUUGCCGGAGAAGACUAGUGUUCUAGUUGACAUGACUCAGGUUCUUUCUACAGUGGAAGCUGUACUGUGCAAGAUACAGGUGAGUUAAAAGCAUAGGUGUGACUUGGAAGGUUCUAGCGCUUUGAAAACCACUUUGGACCUGCUGAUAAACCCCUGGUAUUGUAGACUAACGUUUGUUAUAGGGGUUGGUCCAUAGCAUCUUUUGUUCACAACUUAUGGGGUUUUGCUUUUUUCUUACCCAGGAGAAAAAUCCACAUCUCAGCAAAAUAGACCUUCUGGCAAAGGUUUCUUCCAUGUUUUGUUUCACAUUAGAAACUGCAUUUGUCUUUAGUGGUUGUAUGCUUGCUUGGCAGAAGAAUGUUUUGACCAUUAAGUUUAAAGAAUCUAAUGACCACUUUGGAUAAAGGACUCAUUCAGUAUCCCAGCACCUUCAGUUAAAGUGAGAUCUCACAAUACACCAAAACUGACCUGCAGCAAAGUCUGGAAAGACGAGACUUGAUAUGUCCAAGAACUCCCUGAAGUUCCCACGAGACUUCCAGUGUGCUGCAGAAGACUGCCCCAGAAUCCAGGGACUUAGAUCCAGCUUGCUGCAGAGUACACCACGGCUGCUGUUGUUUACUUACAUGCAAAAU
Malaclemys terrapin pileata is the source of this 3787-nucleotide long non-coding RNA. RefSeq lists it as uncharacterized. The transcript is spliced from 3 exons. The record is from RefSeq and is a predicted model, not a curated record. Lineage: Eukaryota; Metazoa; Chordata; Testudines; Emydidae.